Molecule: long non-coding RNA, 1641 nt
Organism: Homo sapiens (human)
Lineage: Eukaryota; Metazoa; Chordata; Mammalia; Primates; Hominidae
Gene: HULC
Product: hepatocellular carcinoma up-regulated long non-coding RNA
Source: Ensembl
UUUCUAGGGCUACAUGAAUCAUCUGAAGCCUCUUCCGGAUGCUAUAAGCAGCCAUGGAUGGGCGGAGAAAAGAUCCUUGGGCCAGCGUCUCCCUUAGGGUCCUUCCUGCCAUGAUAUUGUCGUCUUCAAAGUGUCUUCUGUAAAGACUUCUUCAGACUGUCAAUAGGAAGACUGAUAAACUCAGGGAAAUAGUGCUAUGAUAGAUCAGUGAUUCUCAUACUUGAGCCUACAUCAGAACCCCCUGGAGAACCCGUGAAAACACAGAUUGCUGGGCCAACCCCCAGAGUAUCCAACUAGAAACCAGGAACCUUCAGUUACUCCAGCAUGAAGGAAUCAACUGCUAUAGAGACCACAUUCCCUGGAGUUUUAUAAACUAUGCUGGUCAUCAGAUCACUUUUAGACAUCAUGUAAGACAGGGUCUCACUCUGUUGCCCAGGUUGGAGUGCAAUGACAUGAUCAUGGUUCACCGCAGCCUGGCUCACUACUGCUUCACCUCCUGGGCUCAAAUGAUCCUCUCACCUAAGCCUCCUGAGGAGCUGGGACUACAGGCACACACCACCACACCCAGAUAAUAUAUUUUUAAAAUUUAUUAUUGGGACGGGGUCAUCCUAUGUUGCCCAAGUUAGUCUCAAACUCUUGAGCUCAAGUGAUCCUCCCACCUUGGCCUCCAAGGGUGCUGGGAUUGCAGGCCCAAGCCAUGACAUCUGGCCAUUUCUAAAUUCUUAAUGUGGAAUAUUUACAUUUUAUCGUUGGAAAGACAGCCUUCAAAGAUUAAUACUUAUUAAAUAAUAGAAUGUUCUUAGCAAACAAACAGUUAAUUUUUAAAAUGAAAAGUCAAGAUGAAAGAAAAAUAUUUCACAGAAUGUUAAUGAAGUGUGGGAUAAAUUUAGUAUCUUCAUAUAUUAACAUAAGAAGUAAUAAAAUGCAAUCACAAAAAUAGCCCUGGAAUUGAAUUGCAUGUUGGGAGUGAUGGUUUGAUGGCAACUCGGAAUACAAAAUGAGCAGAUUGAAGAGGUUCUAAUGUAUUCAGGGCCAGAGAAAUUAUUCUUUAAACUUUUCUUCCUCUUAGCUGUCUCCAUUAAUGUUCAUGGUCAGGUUGGCCUUUCGGAUAAAAGUGAGAUGAUGAACAUCAAAAUGCACAGAACCCUAUGGGACCACAUGGUGGUUACUCAAUACAUGUUUCUGAAUCUGAUUCUGAUAAAUAUAAGUCUAGUCUUUGAAAAAUUAACUAUCAGGGAAAGAAAGGGUCAGUAAGUUUUCUCUAUGGUGAGCCCAUCUUUUCCUUAUUUACUUAUUAUGUAUUAAACAGCUCCUAGGUGACAGGGCCUGUGCUAAGUGCUCAGUUCCUACCCUUAAUUAAAGACAGGCAUGCAAGGCUAUAAUUGUACCCACAUUCCUCUUGAGGUCACACCAGAGCUCUCUCCAGUGGGAAGAACUUUAAAUAGCCAAUCUCUAAUAAGCACAAGGGAGCCACAUCAUAGGAAAAAAUGUGAAAAGACAAUGGCAUUUUCCACUUCUUUACACCACCAACAAGGGGAAAUGGCUGAGCAGUGCGUCUUCCUCAAGAAAACGUUCCUUCAACUUUGAUAUCACUGUCAAUUGAAAAAUAUGACCAUAGAUUUCUUCCACUCUAGAAUCCAC